UCAAAUCAGGUAGGACUACCCGCUGAACUUAACAUAUCCA
Molecule: ribosomal RNA, 40 nt
Filed under: Sphaerobolus stellatus
Lineage: Eukaryota; Fungi; Basidiomycota; Agaricomycetes; Geastrales; Sphaerobolaceae
Also listed under: 2 other names
Description: partial 28S ribosomal RNA
Source: RNAcentral